CUGAAAGCAGAUGUUUAGAAAUGAAAGUAUAAACACAACCCCAGUUGAUUAAUAUGCUUAUUGUAUUUCCUUGUUGUGAGUCUAGCGAAUAUUUGAUUAUCUUUAAGUUGAUCCAUAGUAUAUUCAACAGUCUCAUGAGAACAUAAUUUUUGUUGAUGAUUUGUCCAAAGUUUCUAUUAAUCCAUCCUAGCAGCAGAGCCAAGUGUUAGAGUUAUUGCUGCCUGAGUUAUAACAGCUGCCCUGGGAAUCUUGUCUGAACAACAAGUUAACUGCUGUUCCCAGUUAUAUCUGGUCUUUCCCACCCCCAAACAUACACAAAAGAUUUUUGUCAUUCUUGGCACUGGACAACAGAAGUGAUAAGACAUGCCAGCAGAACUCUAAAGGCAGAAUGUCCUUCCACCUGUUUUAUGCUGUAAGACAAACUUCCAAGUGCGAGGCAGUGUGGAGGGCUGUUUCCUUGAAUGGCAGCUGAAUGCACCGGCGGGAUCCUUGGCAGCAAUGCCCAGGCACUGAAGCCGGGCAUUCAGGAGAGCUAAAUGGAGAAAAGAAACUUGAGCAAACUGCUUCCUGGAACACUGAGAACCUGAAUGGGAAAUUAAGAAGAACCAGAUUCUUUCUAUUCUUCCACCAGCCAAGGUGAUGAGCACAAAAGGAUCCAUCUUAUACAGUGCUUGCCAGCUUCCAUAAUACUACUCACCACGAUGUUGAAAUCACCUGUUCCAGAACCAGUCCUGUCCUUUGACAAGAAGGAUUUAAUUAUCAGUAGUGGUGGGGACUGGCUGGAGAGAGGAAAAACACUUCAAGGACUCUGCCACCUUUCGUAGAUGGAGAGUGCAAAGUUUGUACCAUGGAACUCCUUCUCUAACAGUUACUCUGUGGCAGUGCCUAUUUCAAACCUCCCUUAACUUCUGAUUGUAUAGAUGUUUGUUUCAUUUGUUCAUCUGUUUGUUCACUUAGUCAGAGAUGUUUUAAGCCUUAAGAGAAAUAGUGGACUAGAAAAUGCCUUGGAAAAGUACAAAGUUCAAUCCAAGUAAACUGUUUUUAAACUAGGAACUUAUGAAGCCUAAAAUAUAAAAUGUAUGUACAUGGAUAUGCUCUGAAGUGAGGUAGAGGGGUAGAAAUCAACAUUGUGAUAUUGUACUAUAGUUUUGCAAGAUGUUACCAUUGGGGGAAAAUGUUUGAAGGGUAUACAGGAUAUCUCUG
This 1203-nucleotide long non-coding RNA is filed under the name Pan troglodytes (chimpanzee). RNAcentral's name for it is "long non-coding RNA NONPTRT015550". The record is from RNAcentral. Lineage: Eukaryota; Metazoa; Chordata; Mammalia; Primates; Hominidae.